AAACUUAAGGAAUUGACGGGGCCGCACAAGCAGCGGAGCGUGUGGUUAAUUCGAUGCUACACGAAGAACCUUACCAGGGUUUGACAUGCAAGUGGUAGGAAGCCGAAAGGUGACCGACCUUCGGGGAGCUUGCACAGGUGCUGCAUGGCUGUCGUCAGCUCGUGUCGUGAGAUGUUCGGUUAAGUCCGCUAACGAGCGCAACCCUUGCUGUGUGUUACAUGUGUCACACGGGACUGCCGGUCUUAAACCGGAGGAAGGUGGGGAUGACGUCAAGUCAGCAUGGCCUUUAUGUCCUGGGCUACACACACGCUACAAUGGCCGGUACAAUAGGUUGCGAAGCCGCGAGGCGGAGCCAAUCCUCAAAGCCGGCCUCAGUUCAGAUUGCAGGCUGCAACCCGCCUGCAUGAAGAUGGAGUUGCUAGUAACCGCAGGUCAGCUAUACUGCGGUGAAUACGUUCCCGGGGCUU
RNAcentral lists this ribosomal RNA (467 nucleotides) under uncultured Levilinea sp. RNAcentral's name for it is "bacterial SSU rRNA". It matches the Rfam family "Bacterial small subunit ribosomal RNA", at positions 897 to 1382 of the family's 1533-position model. Lineage: Bacteria; Bacillati; Chloroflexota; Anaerolineae; Anaerolineales; Anaerolineaceae. The record is from RNAcentral.